UCGCGUCAAGCGCCGUAGGCAGGAGCGGGGGACCCAAGGUAAGUGCCCCACCGGGAAGUUGCCGGUGGCGGCUUGGGGUGUAGCCGUGCCGAGCGAGAGCGAGGCACGGCCGGGCAACUCAACCGGCCCGAACCCGACAGCUCACCUCGCAGGCGUCGGUGAGGGGAUCA
Molecule: small RNA, 170 nt
Filed under: Streptomyces sp.
Lineage: Bacteria; Bacillati; Actinomycetota; Actinomycetes; Kitasatosporales; Streptomycetaceae
Also listed under: 1 other name
Description: c-di-AMP sequence
Rfam family: c-di-AMP riboswitch aptamer (ydaO/yuaA leader)
About the family: This family represents a conserved RNA structure found upstream of the ydaO and yuaA genes in Bacillus subtilis and related genes in other bacteria. The ydaO/yuaA element is thought to act as a genetic "off" switch for the ydaO and yuaA genes in its native state.
Source: RNAcentral